CCUACGGGAGGCAGCAGUGGGGAAUCUUGCGCAAUGGGGGCAACCCUGACGCAGCCAUGCCGCGUGAAUGAUGAAGGCCUUAGGGUUGUAAAGUUCUUUUGCCCGUGACGAUGAUGACGGUAACGGGAGAAUAAGCUCCGGCUAACUUCGUGCCAGCAGCCGCGGUAAUACGAAGGGGGCUAGCGUUGUUCGGAAUUACUGGGCGUAAAGCGCGCGCAGGCGGUUCGAUAAGUUAGGGGUGAAAUCCCUGGGCUCAACCCAGGAAUGGCCUUUAAGACUGUCGAGCUAGAGGACGAGAGAGGUGAGUGGAAUUCCCAGUGUAGAGGUGAAAUUCGUAGAUAUUGGGAAGAACACCGGUGGCGAAGGCGGCUCACUGGCUCGUUUCUGACGCUGAGGCGCGAAAGCGUAGGGAGCAAACAGGAUUAGAUACCCUGGUAGUCCACGCCCUAAACGAUGAGUGCCAGGUGUCGGGAAGCUUAGCUUCUCGGCGCCGCAGCUAACGCCUUAAGCACUCCGCCUGGGGAGUACGGCCGCAAGGUUAAACUCAAAUGAAUUGACGG
This 560-nucleotide ribosomal RNA is filed under the name uncultured bacterium. RNAcentral describes it as "bacterial SSU rRNA". It matches the Rfam family "Bacterial small subunit ribosomal RNA", at positions 338 to 916 of the family's 1533-position model. The record is from RNAcentral.